RNAcentral lists this small nuclear RNA (300 nucleotides) under Ochotona princeps (American pika). RNAcentral's name for it is "7SK RNA (ENSOPRG00000021282.1)". It matches the Rfam family "7SK RNA", at positions 1 to 269 of the family's 331-position model. From Rfam's summary of the family: 7SK was discovered as an abundant small nuclear RNA in the mid-70s but a possible function has only recently been suggested. Lineage: Eukaryota; Metazoa; Chordata; Mammalia; Lagomorpha; Ochotonidae. The record is from RNAcentral.
GGAUUCUUCCACCUUGUUGCAUAACCACAUCUGUCACCCCAUUGAUCGCCAGGGUUGAUUGGGCUGAUCUGGCUGGCUAGGCGGGUGUCCCCUUCCUCCCUCACCGCUCCAUGUGUGUCCCUCCCGAAGCUGCGCGCUCGGUCGAAGAGGACGACCAUCCCCGCUAGAGGAGGACCGGUCUUCGGUCAAGGGUAUACGAGUAGCUGCGCUCCCCUGCUAGAACCUCCAAACAAGCUCUCAAGGUCAGACUAAUUUCAAAGAUAGCUCAGAGAUGCUUAUUCUGGGAAUACGCUGUUAUUU